RNAcentral lists this long non-coding RNA (384 nucleotides) under Physcomitrium patens. RNAcentral describes it as "long non-coding RNA (PPAT_LNC011962)". The record is from RNAcentral. Lineage: Eukaryota; Viridiplantae; Streptophyta; Bryopsida; Funariales; Funariaceae.
GAGGAAGAGUGAAGCAAAUUUGUGAAAAUGAGAUUGCUAGAGUUUUUUGGAGAGAAGAUUUAAUAUUGAUUUAGGAUUUUCUAUGCUACUUCUUACAUUUUUUUUUUUUUUGUAUUGAUAUUUGAAGUGAAGUUAAAUCUUAUUGUGAGCUUUUGAGCAAGCUAUGGCACAUAAGAAAUGAAGCUCUUACGACGGAAAUCCAAGAAAAUUUGUAAAAAAGAGGUUGCUGGAGUUUUUAGGAGGGGAGAUUCAACACUUCUUUGGGAUUUUGUACACCACUUCUUGUAUUUUUGUCUUUUUAUGUUGAUAUUUUUAAAAAAACUAGAUCUAAUUAUGAAAUUUUCAAUAAGCCUUAGUACAUAAGAAAUAGAGCUUUGAUGAAUG